GGUGUAGGCGGCUUGGCAAGUCGGGUGUGAAAUCCCAGGGCUCAACCCUGGACGUGCACUCGAAACUGCCGAGCUCGAGUCCUGGAGAGGAAGGUGGAAUGCUUGGUGUAGAGGUGAAAUUCGUAGAUAUCAAGCGGAACACCGGUGGCGAAGGCGGCCUUCUGGACAGUGACUGACGCUGAGACCCGAAAGCGUGGGGAGCAAACA
Molecule: ribosomal RNA, 207 nt
Filed under: uncultured bacterium
Lineage: Bacteria
Description: partial 16S ribosomal RNA
Rfam family: Bacterial small subunit ribosomal RNA
Source: RNAcentral